GAUGAACGCUGGCGGCGUGCCUAAUACAUGCAAGUCGAACGAGUUCUGAUUAUUGAAAGGUGCUUGCAUCUUGAUUUAAUUUUGAACGAGUGGCGGACGGGUGAGUAACACGUGGGUAACCUGCCCUUAAGUGGGGGAUAACAUUUGGAAACAGAUGCUAAUACCGCAUAAAUCCAAGAACCGCAUGGUUCUUGGCUGAAAGAUGGCGUAAGCUAUCGCUUUUGGAUGGACCCGCGGCGUAUUAGCUAGUUGGUGAGGUAACGGCUCACCAAGGCAAUGAUACGUAGCCGAACUGAGAGGUUGAUUGGCCACAUUGGGACUGAGACACGGCCCAAACUCCUACGGGAGGCAGCAGUAGGGAAUCUUCCACAAUGGACGCAAGUCUGAUGGAGCAACGCCGCGUGAGUGUAGAAGGCUUUCGGGUCGUAAAACUCUGUUGUUGGAGAAGAAUGGUCGGCAGAGUAACUGUUGUCGGCGUGACGGUAUCCAACCAGAAAGCCACGGCUAACUACGUGCCAGCAGCCGCGGUAAUACGUAGGUGGCAAGCGUUAUCCGGAUUUAUUGGGCGUAAAGCGAGCGCAGGCGGUUUUUUAAGUCUGAUGUGAAAGCCCUCGGCUUAACCGAGGAAGUGCAUCGGAAACUGGGAAACUUGAGUGCAGAAGAGGACAGUGGAACUCCAUGUGUAGCGGUGAAAUGCGUAGAUAUAUGGAAGAACACCAGUGGCGAAGGCGGCUGUCUGGUCUGUAACUGACGCUGAGGCUCGAAAGCAUGGGUAGCGAACAGG
RNAcentral lists this ribosomal RNA (784 nucleotides) under Lacticaseibacillus zeae. Its description in RNAcentral is "bacterial SSU rRNA". It matches the Rfam family "Bacterial small subunit ribosomal RNA", at positions 28 to 776 of the family's 1533-position model. Lineage: Bacteria; Bacillati; Bacillota; Bacilli; Lactobacillales; Lactobacillaceae. The record is from RNAcentral.